UAAUACGUAGGGUGCGAGCGUUAAUCGGAAUUACUGGGCGUAAAGCGUGCGCAGGUGGUUGUUUAAGACAGAUGUGAAAUCCCCGGGCUUAACCUGGGAACUGCGUUUGUGACUGGACAGCUAGAGUGCGGCAGAGGGGGGUGGAAUUCCACGUGUAGCAGUGAAAUGCGUAGAGAUGUGGAGGAACACCGAUGGCGAAGGCAGCCCCCUGGGCCAGCACUGACGCUCAUGCACGAAAGCGUGGGGAGCAAACAGG
RNAcentral lists this ribosomal RNA (256 nucleotides) under uncultured archaeon. RNAcentral describes it as "partial 16S ribosomal RNA". It matches the Rfam family "Bacterial small subunit ribosomal RNA", at positions 521 to 776 of the family's 1533-position model. The record is from RNAcentral.